AUCAACAGAGAUUCCCCUAGUAACGGCGAGCGAACGGGGAAGAGCCCAUCGCCCAAUCCGCCGCCAAACUGGCGGGCCGGAAAUUUGGCGUAUAGGAAAGACGCUUCCGGGCACCGACUCCGGUGCAAGUCCCCCUGACUGGGGCUCUUACCCCGAGAGGGUGCAAGGCCCGUAGCGGCCGGAAGGUCGGUUCCGGAUGUCCUCUCCUGGGAGUCGGGUUGCUUGAGAGUGCAGCCCCAAUCAGGUGGUAAACUCCAUCUAAGGCUAAAUACGACCUGGAGACCGAUAGCGAACAAGUACCGUGAGGGAAAGUUGAAAAGGACUUUGAAGAGAGAGUUCAAGAGUACGUGAAACCGUUCGGAGGUAAACGAGUGGGCCCUCGAAGUGAGAAGGCGGGGGGACUCAGCCGAACGCCCCGAGCUGGCUCGGUCGUCCGCGGUUCCCUGACAGGACGCGGCGUGCCGGGCACUCGUGCUCAGGCGUCCGGCGCAUUUCCUCCCGUCCUCCGACGCUGCAACCGGUCGGGUGCGCCACGAGCAGUCGGCCUUACUCGCGGGAAACGGAAGGUAACCGGGACGGAGCGCUCCGGCGCUCUCCCCGGUGUUUAUCCGUCCCGCCAUGGAGUAGCCGUUCGCCCGACCGCAGGACGCGGCCCUCAGGGGCCUCGCCGUGCCCUCCCCAUGUUUUGGGAUCGUUUCUCGCCUCGGAAGGGAGGCCGUCGAGUUCGGUGGACACCCUGGGUGUCCCCGGGACGGCGGUCCCCGGUGGCCGGGGCGAUUUCGAGCGGGCGCAGGCGGUCCGCAGCGAGUAGNNNNNNNNNNNNNNUGACCCGUCCUUGAAACACGGACCAAGGAGUUUAACGUGCACGCGAGUCACGGGGUCGUGAACAGGCCCAGAGGCGCAAUGAAAGUGAAGGGCGGCUAACCGCCGUCCGCGUUGGGAUCCGUCGGCCUCGGCCGGCGGCGCACCAACGGCUCGUCCGGACCGCCUCGUCGGUCGGGCGAAGCGAGAGCGUGCACGUUGAGACCCGAAAGAUGGUGAACUAUGGCUGGGCAGGACGAAGCCAGAGGAAACUCUGGUGGAGGUCCGCAGCGGUUCUGACGUGCAAAUCGAUCGUCAGACCUGGCUAUAGGGGCGAAAGACUAAUCGAACCAUCUAGUAGCUGGUUCCCUCCGAAGUUUCCCUCAGGAUAGCUGGCGCUCGGGAGGAAGCAGUCUCAUCCGGUAAAGCGAAUGAUUAGAGGCCUUGGGGCCGAAAAGACCUCAACCUAUUCUCAAACUUUCAAUGGGUGAGAAGUCCGGUUUGCCUGAUUGARSCMCGGACCUUCUCGGAUGCGAGUGCCCAGUGGGCCACUUUUGGUAAGCAGAANUGGSGCKGYKGKRUGAAGCCAAACGACGAGGUUAAGGGGCCCGAUGCAGGACGCUCAUGAGAACCCAUGAAAGGUGUUGGGUUGCUAUAGACAGCAGGACGGUGGCCAUGGAAGUCGGAAUCCGCUAAGGAGUGUGUAACAACUCACCUGCCGAAGCAACUAGCCCUGAAAAUGGAUGGCGCUUCAGCGUCGACCCCAUACCCGUCCGCCGCGGCGGAGAUGCGAUCGCAUUAUGCCGCGGUGAGUAGGAGGGCGCGGGGGCGCGCGUGGAAGGUGCCGGGCGUGAGCCCGCCUGGAGCCGCCCCCGGUGCAGAUCUUGGUGGUAGUAGCAAAUACUCAAGUGAGAACCUUGAGGACUGAGGUGGAGAAGGGUUCCAUGUGAACAGCAGUUGAACAUGGGUCAGUCGGUCCUAAGGGAUGUCCGAAAGGAUUUCCGAAGGGGGGACGUGGUGAGAUUUGUUCCCCCCCAUGACCGAAAGGGAAUCGGGUUAAUAUUCCCGAACCCGGACACGGAGAUCGGUCCCUUCGGGGAUACGUGCGGUAACGCAAACGACCUCGGAGACGUCGACGGGGGUCCCGGGAAGAGUUGUCUUUUCUUUGUAAGGGUUCGGCUCCCUGGAAUCGGCUCGCCCGGAGAUAGGGAUGCUGAACCCGUAAAGCACCGCGCCUCUUGUGGUGUCCGUGAGCGCUCCCGUCGGCCCUUGAAAAUCCGAGCGAGAGUUGGUGAUUUUCCGGUGCCCGGGUACCGUACUCCAUAU
RNAcentral lists this ribosomal RNA (2127 nucleotides) under Chapulobunus unispinosus. Its description in RNAcentral is "eukaryotic LSU rRNA". It matches the Rfam family "Eukaryotic large subunit ribosomal RNA", at positions 64 to 1854 of the family's 3401-position model. Lineage: Eukaryota; Metazoa; Arthropoda; Arachnida; Opiliones; Stygnopsidae. The record is from RNAcentral.